Clostridium acetireducens DSM 10703 is the source of this 199-nucleotide non-coding RNA. Lineage: Bacteria; Bacillati; Bacillota; Clostridia; Eubacteriales; Clostridiaceae. The record is from Rfam.
GAGAACUGAUAAUCCGAUUGGUGGAAUGAAGGAGUAACGCCCUGAAACGCCAUCCCUGAUACUCCGAUGUGCGUAAGACAAAAUCUUACGUUCAAAGCUCGGUGAAGUCGGCUGAAAUCAACCCUAACAGCUUAGUAAUAAGGCUGAGGAAAGCUUCUCAGAGGUGAGAGGUGUUGAUGAUAGGUCGGGGGUCUUUAAA